Molecule: ribosomal RNA, 1340 nt
Filed under: unidentified archaeon
Lineage: Archaea
Description: 16S ribosomal RNA
Rfam family: Archaeal small subunit ribosomal RNA
Source: RNAcentral
UGCUAUCGGGCUUGCAAAAGACAUGCAAGUCGUACGUCUGUCGAUUCGUCGGCAGGCGUGGCGAAAGGCUCAGUAACACGUCGUCAAUCUGCCCUGCGGAGGGGGAUAACCUCGGGAAACUGAGACUAAUCCCCCAUAGGUAUGGACACCUGGAAUGGGCCAAUACCGAAAGGAGUCUAUGACUCCACCGCAGGAUGAGGCAGCGGCCGAUUAGCUAGUAAGUGAUGUAACGGAUCACUUAGGCAAUGAUCGGUAGGGGCUAUGAGAGUAGGCGCCCCGAGAGGGAUACUGAGACACUGAUCCCAGCGCUACGGCGUGCAGCAGUCGGGAAUCGUGUCCAAUGCGCGAAAGCGUGAGACCGCGAGCCCGAGUGCUAGGGAAACCCCUAGCUGUGAUGGAGUGUGCAAAGCUCCAACAGCAAGCAGAGGGCAAGGCUGGUGCCAGCCGCCGCGGUAAAACCAGCUCUGCGAGUGCCUAGGACGAUUAUUGGGCUUAAAGCAUCCGUACCGGUCCGGUAGGUCCUUGAUCAAAUCUGCAAGCUCAACUUGUAGGCUGUCAAGGAUACCGCCGGACUAGGGAAUAGGAGAGGGCGACGGUACUGCGGGGGAAGCGGUGAAAUGCGUUGAUCCCCGCAGGACCCACAGUGGCGAAGGCGGUCGCCUAGAAUAUCUCCGACGGUGAUGGAUGAAAGCCAGGGGAGCGAAAGGGAUUAGAGACCCCUGUAGUCCUGGCUGUAAACGAUGAAGGACUAGGUGUUGGUCAUGGCCAAGGGCCUGGUCAGUGCCGAAGGGAAACUAUUAAGUCCUCCGCCUGGGGAGUACGGUCGCAAGGCUGAAACUUAAAUGAAUUGACGGGAAAGCGCCACAAGGGAUGGAAUGUGUGGCUUAAUUCGACUCAACGCGAGGAAACUCACCUGGAGCGACUGACAAAUGUGAGUCAGGCUGAAGACCUUACUCGAAUAAGUCAGAGAGGUAGUGCAUGGCCGUCUCAAGCUCGUGCCGUGAGGUGUGCUCUUAAGUGAGUAAACGAGCGAGACCCGCGCCCCUAUUUGCUAAGAGCGAGCUACGGCUCGGCUGAGGACAAUAGGGGGAUCGCCACCGACUAAGGUGGAUGAAAGUGCGGGCCACGGCAGGUCAGUAUGCUCCGAAUCUCCAGGGCUGCACACGCAUUACAAUGGACGGGACAAUGAGAUGCGACCCCGAAAGGGGAAGCGGACCUCCAAACCCGUCCGUAGUAGGGAUCGAGGUCUGCAACCGACCUCGUGAACGCGGAACCCCUAGUAUCCGCGUGCCAACAUCGCGCGGAGAAUGCGUCCACGCUUUUUGUACACACCGCCCGUC